Molecule: transfer RNA, 23 nt
Filed under: Macaca nemestrina (pig-tailed macaque)
Lineage: Eukaryota; Metazoa; Chordata; Mammalia; Primates; Cercopithecidae
Description: partial tRNA-His
Source: RNAcentral
AGGCCUACCACCUCUUAUUUACC